AUUGAACGCUGGCGGCGUGCCUAACACAUGCAAGUCGAGCGGUAACAGGUGUAGCAAUACAUGCUGACGAGCGGCGAACGGGUGAGUAAUGCUUCGGAAUCUACCCAAUGGUGGGGAAUAACCAGCCGAAAGGUUGGCUAAUACCGCAUACGUCCCACGGGAGAAAGCAGGGGAUCGCAAGACCUUGCGCCAAUGGAUGAGCCGAAGUCGGAUUAGCUAGUUGGAGGGUAACGGCCUACCAAGGCGACGAUCCGUAGCUGGUCUGAGAGGACGACCAGCCACACUGGGACUGAGACACGGCCCAGACUCCUACGGGAGGCAGCAGUGGGGAAUAUUGGACAAUGGGGGAAACCCGUGAUCCAGCGACGCCGCGUGUGUGAAGAAGGCCUGCGGGUUGUAAAGCAC
RNAcentral lists this ribosomal RNA (405 nucleotides) under uncultured bacterium. RNAcentral describes it as "bacterial SSU rRNA". It matches the Rfam family "Bacterial small subunit ribosomal RNA", at positions 29 to 433 of the family's 1533-position model. The record is from RNAcentral.